This 440-nucleotide ribosomal RNA is filed under the name uncultured bacterium. RNAcentral describes it as "partial 16S ribosomal RNA". It matches the Rfam family "Bacterial small subunit ribosomal RNA", at positions 338 to 795 of the family's 1533-position model. The record is from RNAcentral.
CCUACGGGAGGCAGCAGUGGGGGAUAUUGCACAAUGGGGGGAACCCUGAUGCAGCGACGCCGCGUGGGUGAAGAAGCGCCUCGGCGCGUAAAGCCCUGUCAGCAGGGAAGAAAAUGACGGUACCUGAAGAAGAAGCCCCGGCUAACUACGUGCCAGCAGCCGCGGGAAUACGUAGGGGGCAAGCGUUAUCCGGAUUUCCUGGGUGUAAAGGGGGCGCAGACGGCGAAGCAAGCCAGGAGUGAAAGCCCGGGGCCCAACCCCGGGACUGCUCUUGGAACUGCGUGGCUGGAGUGCAGGAGGGGCAGGCGGAAUUCCUGGUGUAGCGGUGAAAUGCGUAGAUAUCAGGAGGAACACCGGUGGCGAAGGCGGCCUGCUGGACUGCAACUGACGUUGAGGCCCGAAAGCGUGGGGAGCAAACAGGAUUAGAUACCCCAGUAGUC